CAGGAAAAGACUUAUUAGGUCUAAGAAAUUGUAAUAUAAUAUAAGCUCAGUUUCGAAGCCUGAUUGAUUAUCGAAUAGCGAGGUUCUUCUCUUGUAUUAUUUCUAAAUAUGGAUGAGACCAUGAAAAAGUUUCAAAGCAAAUUAACAGAGGUUGAAUUGGUAGCUGAACAUCUACUUUUAGCCCGACAUCAGAGUGUUGAGAAUGAUAGAUUGCGAAAUGGGAAUAGAGAAGCACUUACUGCAUUAAGGAAAAGGGCUCAGACAACCAAGAGUAGUGUCCCGCCGCCCUUUGAAUCAAUAAUGAAAGGAGUUUCCGGGACCGGCUCAAAACCUUUGGUGCAAGAGGUGUGUACUGUCUGUGGCAAUCAUGACUCUUUCGAGCAGACCUGGAUGAUGUUUCCAGGAACUGAUCUGUUUGCUAGAAUUCCCUUUCAUGCUGCUCACACUAUAUUGGAAACAGGUCCUUCAUUCUUUCCUUAUCCUAAAUUACAUGAUAAUCAUCAUGCAAAAAUAUAACUUAAGAAAAUGCUGUCAAUGCAUGUCUGCGUUAGUAUAUCUUUUUAUUUGAUGGACCAAAAGGCUUGAUUGGCCAUUACCUUAAUUUUGUAUAUGUGUGCAUUCUACAGUAGCAGAGUAUUUAAGUGCAGUUGUAGUUGCAUAUAUGUUGCGUUUACCACAAUUGCGGAAGAUUGUGGUUAAAUGCUGCUGAUGUGACCACAAUUGCGGAAGAUUGUGGUUAAAUGCUGCUGAUGUGACCACAAUUACGAUGUCGUUGCGGAGACUUCCAUAAUAGCAAUAUUGUUGCCACAAUUGAUGUUCAGACCAGAAUUUAAUACCUUAUAUAGUAGUGAUGUUUCCCAGUCACCCAUAAUGCAAUUUUGACAUAUUUUUCUGUGGGCUUGAAACAUAUUUGCUCAGUGCAAUUUGAGAUCCCCACUUAUAUAACCGGAUAGGAAUGCAAGCAUGGUUUUAUUUAUUAGUUUGGAUUCUGGAUCAAAAAAUGGCAUUCCUAUUUGAUAGAGAGAUGAUAUGUAGAAGCAAUAGUAUGUCUCUGCUAUAUUAACUGUUUCUGUUUUGUUGGUUUUGUAAAUGUUCAUAACAUUCUUGAUUAUUAUUAGUUUUGUGGAAGAACUAAAGCUUUGAC
RNAcentral lists this long non-coding RNA (1144 nucleotides) under Lupinus mutabilis. RNAcentral's name for it is "partial ncRNA". The record is from RNAcentral. Lineage: Eukaryota; Viridiplantae; Streptophyta; Magnoliopsida; Fabales; Fabaceae.